RNAcentral lists this small nucleolar RNA (104 nucleotides) under Rhinolophus ferrumequinum (greater horseshoe bat). RNAcentral describes it as "Small nucleolar RNA U13 (ENSRFEG00010014227.1)". It matches the Rfam family "Small nucleolar RNA U13". The record is from Rfam by way of RNAcentral. Lineage: Eukaryota; Metazoa; Chordata; Mammalia; Chiroptera; Rhinolophidae.
AUCCGUUUGUAACUCAUAAGUGUGAUGAUUGGGUGUUCACGCUCUUGUGUGAGAUGUGCCUCCCUCAAACCUUGUUACGACAUCGGCACAUUACCCAUUUGACG